AGCAGCCGCGGUAAUUCCAGCUCCAAUAGCGUAUAUUAAAGUUGUUGCAGUUAAAAAGCUCGUAGUUGAAUUUCGGGAUCAAUACGUCGGUCGUGCUUCGGUACGUACUGGCGUCAUUGAUUUCUCCCUUCUGACGAACCAUGAUGUCAUUAACUUGGUGUCAUGGGAAAUCAGGACUGUUACUUUGAAAAAAUUAGAGUGUUUAAAGCAGGCUCACGCUUGAAUACAUUAGCAUGGAAUAAUGAAAUAGGACGUUCGAUCCUAUUUUGUUGGUUUUAGGAUCAACGUAAUGAUUAAUAGGGAUAGUUGGGGCAUUAGUAUUCAAUUGUCAGAGGUGAAAUUCUUGGAUUUAUUGAAGACUAACUACUGCGAAAGCAUUUGCCAAGGAUGUUUUCAUUAAUCAAGAACGAAAGUUAGGGGAUCGAAGACGAUCAGAUACCGUCGUAGUCUUAACCAUAAACUAUGCCGACUAGGGAUCGGAUGAUGUUAAUUUUUUAAUGACUCAUUCGGCGCCUUACGG
Molecule: ribosomal RNA, 520 nt
Filed under: uncultured Glomus
Lineage: Eukaryota; Fungi; Glomeromycota; Glomeromycetes; Glomerales; Glomeraceae
Description: SSU rRNA
Rfam family: Eukaryotic small subunit ribosomal RNA
Source: RNAcentral